This 77-nucleotide transfer RNA is filed under the name Pyrobaculum ferrireducens. Its description in RNAcentral is "tRNA-Tyr (GTA) (tRNA-Tyr-GTA-1-1)". It matches the Rfam family "tRNA". From Rfam's summary of the family: Transfer RNA (tRNA) molecules are approximately 80 nucleotides in length. The record is from RNAcentral. RNAcentral also lists the same sequence under 1 other name. Lineage: Archaea; Thermoproteati; Thermoproteota; Thermoprotei; Thermoproteales; Thermoproteaceae.
CGGCCCGUAGCUCAGCGGUCCAGAGCGCCCGGCUGUAGACCGGGCGGUCCCGGGUUCGAAUCCCGGCGGGCCGACCA